GACGAACGCUGGCGGCGUGCUUAACACAUGCAAGUCGAACGAUGAAGCGGUGCUUGCACCGUGGAUUAGUGGCGAACGGGUGAGUAAUACGUGAGUGACCUACCUUUGACUCUGGGAUAAGCCUGGGAAACUGGGUCUAAUACCGGAUACGACCAAUCUCUGCAUGGGGUGUUGGUGGAAAGCGUUAUGGAGUGGUUUUAGAUGGGCUCACGGCCUAUCAGCUUGUUGGUGAGGUAAUGGCUUACCAAGGCGACGACGGGUAGCCGGCCUGAGAGGGUGACCGGCCACACUGGGACUGAGACACGGCCCAGACUCCUACGGGAGGCAGCAGUGGGGAAUAUUGCACAAUGGGCGCAAGCCUGAUGCAGCGACGCCGCGUGAGGGAUGACGGCCUUUCGGGUUGUAAACCUCUGUUAGCAUCGAAGAAGCGAAAGUGACGGUAGUGCAGAGAAGCCCCGCUAACUAC
RNAcentral lists this ribosomal RNA (466 nucleotides) under Rothia sp. oral taxon 188. RNAcentral describes it as "bacterial SSU rRNA". It matches the Rfam family "Bacterial small subunit ribosomal RNA", at positions 28 to 504 of the family's 1533-position model. The record is from RNAcentral. Lineage: Bacteria; Bacillati; Actinomycetota; Actinomycetes; Micrococcales; Micrococcaceae.